This 905-nucleotide long non-coding RNA is filed under the name Homo sapiens (human). RNAcentral describes it as "non-protein coding FOXP1-AS1:2". The record is from RNAcentral. Lineage: Eukaryota; Metazoa; Chordata; Mammalia; Primates; Hominidae.
CUGCCUCAGCCUCCCAAGUGUAGCUGGGACUACAGGCACACGCCACCAUGCCCAGCUAAUUUUUGUUUUUUUUAAUGUAGAGAUAAGAGUCUCACUAUGUUGCCCAGGUUGAUCUCAAACUCCUGGUCUCAAGAGAUCCUCCCACCUCAGCCUCCCAGAGUCAGAACCCAGAUCCUGGAACUCUUCUUUUCUUCUUCUAUACCACUGCUUCCUUGAUAAGAGAUCAAGAUAUAUACAAAUUAGUCUUUGAAAGAUCUUUCACCUUGUUCAAAGUUAAGAUCCUGUGAACACCAGAAUUGUUCCAUGGCCUCUUCACUAUUGAUUGCAACAGUAUCAUUUACCUGAAGUUACACAGUGACCACAAAAACCAUGUCCAGGACACCAAAUUUCUACUGCGAACUCUAGGUCCUCACGAGCCUUUCUCUGCGAGUCCAAAAUUCAGCCACAUUUCCUAAGAGGCACCUGUACUUGUCUAUUUCAAUGCAGCCAGAAGCUGACAACGGCCCAGGAACCAGGACUGCUUUCAGGAGGCGCUCAGAAGGGCAGCAAAGUACCCUCUCAACAUUAGUAAAAUGAAACAAAAGUGUCAGCCUUGGCUUCGCACACACUUACCCGUUCAUGGGGCAUGCUGGAGGCAGACGUUCUCUAUCAGGCAAGAGUUCUCAGUCAGAAUUAAGGUCUGCCAGGCAGAGGGCCACGUCUGGUUUACUUCUGUUUUCUCACUGUUGCUGGUCUUCCCCGAUUCCUGCCUCCCUCUCCAUGUUCCGGGAUGAGACUUUGACUGGUUUCUCAAGGGGCUAACUUUUGGUUCUCUUCUGGGCGUUUCUGCCCAGAGUCCCCUGGUUUGGACAGCAGCGAUCGUCUGUAGGACACACACAGUGAAUCCAGCCACCGGAUGAGGAAUU